UAAAAAGUUAAAUAGUACGGUGUCUAAACUUUUGCUAAAUGGUUCUCACACUAAUUCAUGUAGUAGGCCAAAGUUCCUAAAGAAGUAUUUGUAUGGCAUUACAUAUCAUCCAGACGCACACAAGUGCGGUUCUAAUGCUAUGAACUUUGCAACAUCAAGGUGCACUCUGUGGUCAAAAUAUCACGAUCUAUUUAAGUUACAGUGAUAAUACAGUUGUACAAAUACUGAAGCUGACAAAACGCCACCUGAUUCAAAAGAAGAAGGCAAUGCAUUGAGUGGUUCAACGAACCAAAUAGGUACAAUGCUACAUAAUACUAUGAAGCAUAACUGCUGUAGGCAUUCCUUGCAUCCCACAAAAUGAAGCUUCUACUAAUGGUCUUUUAUCGUCAAAGAACAUCAAAGGUUGCCAUGAGUUCAUUUUCAUAUUUUUCUACACUUGUUCACCUAGUAGCCAAGUAGCAUUCCACUCUAGCCACUUCCAUCGAGUUCUCCAUGAGAAAGAAGGUGUGCCAUAUAUUGCUGCAAAGACAUAAAUAUGAAUUCAUAACUUAGAGUGCUAGAGUGCAGAAGCAAAAGAAUUCAUGAAGACGGUAUUGACAGGCUAAAUUUUCUACCACCUCAUAUUAUUACAACAGUAACAACUAAGAUAUAAUCCCAAACUAGUUAGGAUCGGUUAAAUGAAUCAUUUUUCACUAUUCAACUCUGUUAGACACCAAGUCCGAAUCAAUAUCCAAAACUUUUAAACACCACUUCCACCACCUCAUAUUAGGUAGAAUCAAAUUGUGAACAAGGAAGUUGCACUAGAAGCACUGGAACAUUGGCAAGUACAUUAGAAAAAGGGACACAUCUUAAUAUCUUCUCCAAAAGCAAUGGGGGUCUCUUUGAAACCAAAUCAAUUAAAAAAUAUUCAAUUCAUUAAUAAAAAAGAGAACAUGAUCAGGUGAAAAUCUUCCCUAUGAAAUUUUAUACCAAGCCUUGGUUCUCAGAUUCACAAUCACUCAUCCAAAUCACUUCCAAACAUGAAGCAGCGGCAAUUCUUAAAGGCUGUACUCCUUGAAAAUGCAUGCAAAAUUCUCUUAAUAAUUUUAAAUAUCAUAAACUGCAAUAUUCUACCAGGGAAAUAUUAGCAAAAAUAAGGACUCAACUUCAUUGGAAUUUGGAUCUUUACUCCAGUUGAGUAGAAGAUGUUCAUUGGAUCCUAUUGCUUGGAGCUCAACUAUACACCUGAAAGAUGUCUGAAUAAUCUUCUCACUAUAACUGGGCCAUGAGUACCAUCAAUGCAAGGAUUCAUUCAACGCUCACGUUGCAUGAUAGGCAUACGGGGAUUUCCCUUGGCGAUCAAAGUGCUUAGCCAUGAUGCAGAACUCUAUUGGACCCCACUCCUCUGAUUCAAAGCAAUUGCCAAAUGCAGCUUUAUAUAACUUAGCUGUAUCCGUUAAAAGUUCAGUUCCGGCAGGGUAAGAUGCGUAAAAUUGAUCAGCUCUAGAAUACCCAGCUCUAGUUCUGAUGGGGAAAAUGACAGUGAUAGCAAAACAAAUAACAAUAGACAUUUGGUUAACUAUAGAUUGCUUGGCUCUAGUUCUAUAAAACCAAAAUAGUAAAACCAACCAAAUAGGUAAACAUGAUGAUAAAAAAACCAUAUAGGCAAACAUUACACAUCAAGUUUCAGCACUAGCCUUUAGCUCAAUGAUAGCAAUUAAAGUUAAAACAACAAAACCAAGAAAAAAUACCCAUUUAAAUAUCAAAAUCCAAACACAUUUUCUUCAUUAUAUACUUGUAUGGGAUGGUAACUCACGUGUUGCUUGUAUAAGCAUAGCUUAAGACAGCAACAAAGCAGUAAAACCCAGUGUAAGAUACGAUUCUGCGAAACUUCUGAAUCUUUAGUAUUUCUUUAAACCCAUCGUAGAGCAUCAUGAUUGGCGAAAUGCACCUGAAAUACAAUGUGCAACCAAGGAGUAAUAUCGAGACUUUUAAGCGAACAGAUUGUGUGCACAAAUAUAUAAGAUUGUUUAUGAAUAAUACCAUGCCAAAGCACUUUACAAGUUGAAUGAAGAAAAAUUGAGCCGAUCCAAACUAGUGAGCCAAUUUUACUGACUAAGCGGUUAACCGGCUUUUUGGUGCUAGACUUGAUGGUUGAUGUCUGGCAACCGGUGAGAGAUUAACAGAGUGACGGAGAAGAGAAGCAACGGUGGCGUGCGGUUGCCGCCGGCAGUAAUAACCAAUAGAAUGAAGAUGCUGGAAGUAACGGCUGUAGCCGUAGUGACCAGUAACUUGCGGAUAGAGGUCGGUGCUAGGGGUGGGAGAUUGA
RNAcentral lists this unclassified non-coding RNA (2308 nucleotides) under Hevea brasiliensis (rubber tree). The record is from RNAcentral. Lineage: Eukaryota; Viridiplantae; Streptophyta; Magnoliopsida; Malpighiales; Euphorbiaceae.